This 327-nucleotide ribosomal RNA is filed under the name uncultured eukaryote. RNAcentral's name for it is "partial 18S ribosomal RNA". It matches the Rfam family "Eukaryotic small subunit ribosomal RNA", at positions 1470 to 1796 of the family's 1831-position model. The record is from RNAcentral.
CCCUUAGAUGUCCUGGGCCGCACGCGUGCUACACUGACGCCUACAGCGAGUACUUCCCAGCCCCGAGAGGCGGCUGGUAAUCAGCAAUAGGCGUCGCGAUGGGGAUAGAACUUUGGAAUUAUUGUUCUUCAACGAGGAAUACCUAGUAGGCGCAUGUCAUCAGCGUGCGUCGAUUACGUCCCUGCCCUUUGCACACACCGCCCGUCGCUCCUACCGAUUGAAUGAUCCGGUGAGGCCCCCGGAAUGGGAUCACUGCCUGGUUCUCCAGAAUGAGAUCCCGUGAAGCUGUCCAAACCUUAUCAUUUAGAGGAAGGAGAAGUCGUAACA